This 253-nucleotide ribosomal RNA is filed under the name uncultured bacterium. Its description in RNAcentral is "partial 16S ribosomal RNA". It matches the Rfam family "Bacterial small subunit ribosomal RNA", at positions 524 to 776 of the family's 1533-position model. The record is from RNAcentral.
UACAGAGGUCCCAAGCGUUGUUCGGAUUCAUUGGGCGUAAAGGGUGCGCAGGCGGCGAGGCAAGUCGGACGUGAAAUCUCGGGGCUUAACCCCGAAACUGCGUUCGAUACUGCUUUGCUUGAGGACUGGAGAGGAGACUGGAAUUCCUGGUGUAGCAGUGAAAUGCGUAGAUAUCAGGAGGAACGCCAAUGGCGAAGGCAAGUCUCUGGACAGUUCCUGACGCUCAUGCACGAAGGCCAGGGGAGCAAACGGG